Molecule: transfer RNA, 69 nt
Filed under: uncultured Sporosarcina sp.
Lineage: Bacteria; Bacillati; Bacillota; Bacilli; Caryophanales; Caryophanaceae
Rfam family: tRNA
About the family: Transfer RNA (tRNA) molecules are approximately 80 nucleotides in length. Their secondary structure includes four short double-helical elements and three loops (D, anti-codon, and T loops).
Source: RNAcentral
CGGUGUAGCUCAAUUGGUAGAGCAACUGACUUGUAAUCAGUAGGUUGAGGGUUCAAUUCCUUUCGCCGG